GAUGAACGCUGGCGGCGUGCCUAAUACAUGCAAGUCGAGCGAACGGACGAGAAGCUUGCUUCUCUGAUGUUAGCGGCGGGCGGGUGAGUAACACGUGGAUAACCUACCUAUAAGACUGGGAUAACUUCGGGACACCGGAGCUAAUACCGGAGGAUAUUUUGAACCGCAGGGUUCAAAAGUGAAAGACGGUCUUGCUGUCACUUAUAGAUGGAUCCGCGCUGCAUUAGCUAGUUGGUAAGGUAAAGGCUUACCAAGGCAACGAUGCAUAGCCGACCUGAGAGGGUGAUCGGCCACUCUGGAACUGAGACACGGUCCAGACGCCUGCGGGAGGCAGCAGUAGGGAAUCUGCCGCAAUGGGCGAAAGCCUGACGGAGCGACGCCGCGUGAGUGGUGACGGUCUUCGGAUCGUAAAACUCUGUUAUUGGUGAAGAACAUAUGUGUAAUUAACUGUGCACAGCUUGACGGUACCUAAUCAGAAAGCCCCGGCUAACUACGUG
RNAcentral lists this ribosomal RNA (497 nucleotides) under uncultured bacterium. Its description in RNAcentral is "partial 16S ribosomal RNA". It matches the Rfam family "Bacterial small subunit ribosomal RNA", at positions 28 to 507 of the family's 1533-position model. The record is from RNAcentral.